Molecule: long non-coding RNA, 1179 nt
Organism: Lampris incognitus (smalleye Pacific opah)
Lineage: Eukaryota; Metazoa; Chordata; Actinopteri; Lampriformes; Lampridae
Exons: 3
Source: RefSeq, a predicted model, not a curated record
CAACUCCAGUUUGUCUUGCCAUGCCUCGGUCAGGGGCACAGCCGGGAGUAUUAACCCUAACAUAUAUGUCUUUUUGAUGGUGGGGGAAACCGGAGCAGCCGGAGAAAACCCACUGCAGACAUGGGGAGAACAUGCAAACUCCACACAGAGGACGACUUGGGAUGACCCCCAAGGUUGGACAACCCUGGGGUUUGAACCCAUGACCUUUGUGCUGUGAGGCAACAGCACUAACCACUGGGUCACCGUGCUGCCCAAAGAUUUGUUGGAAGAGAAGUGAGUAUCAGUAAUACACCAUGUUACCAACCGACACGGCUGGCCAGGGAACAGGCACUAUCACCGAUGUGCUCAUGGAUCCCCUGAUGAGAUGAGCCAGAGAAGUAAGCUUUUUGUAAGGCCAGGAUGUGGAUCCCACAAAGCACCCGUGAAGACUGAAAGAAAGACAAGCGGCUUUUGAAAGACCUGGAUCAUCUGACGAAGUGCAUCCACACAACAACACUAGAGGUGUAGCACUCCAUGUACCUCAAAUAGCUCCCGAAGAGAACACAUUUGGGAUACGAUGUGAUGAUCCAUGCCUCCAUGCUUGCUGCUCUGGAUCACAACAAUGCGAGCAGGGAAACAGGCUGUUUUGCAAGAUGGGGAGAGUGUUGGAGAACCCAAGUUCAGAAUCUCAUGGAGCAAGGUUCACAAGAGAUUCAGAGUAAGACCAGUUGCUGUUGAGAAGGACUAUGGCUACAUGAUGGCUACGGUCGCAGAUGUUCUCUCCUCUGUGUCAGAUUCAGAUUAGGGUAUGGACUUGAGAGUGAACCAAACACAUCAUGGCUCCACAAGACAGACCAUCCAGAUCACAGAUCAUUUUUCAAACAGCAGUUUUCACAUUUCAAGUAGUUGCAUCAUUACAAACACAUAAUGUAGACACCAGCAUUGUUCAAAUCCACAUAAACUUUAAUUCUAAAUUCUAGUCAAGAGUGUUUUCAAGGAUACUUUAUAUUUCAUAAGUGGCAUGAAACACACAUUUAUAUAUUUUUUGUACUGGGGUGCAUUUUGUAUAAACAUUUUUAUUUAAACCAUUAACAUUUCUGUAUGAUGCCCUAUUAUGUGGAGCUGUGCAUAACCCGUGGUCUUGAUGAAAUGCAUUCAAAUGUGAACUAUGCAUUUUAAAUAUCAUUAAAAUUUCUCCAU